RNAcentral lists this long non-coding RNA (37921 nucleotides) under Physcomitrium patens. RNAcentral describes it as "long non-coding RNA (PPAT_LNC012863)". The record is from RNAcentral. Lineage: Eukaryota; Viridiplantae; Streptophyta; Bryopsida; Funariales; Funariaceae.
AGGGUCAAAGUAAUAAUUCGGCUCUAUUUUGAAGAUAAGAAAAAGGUAGUUAUUUUUACUGAUGUGAUAAUUUAAAAAAAUAUAUGAAUAAUUAUUGUAUUUAUAAAAAAUCAGACCAUUUUGUAAAAAAUUAUUACAAAGCUAAAAAAGAAAUGAAGAGAAUAAAAAUAAUCUUGUAAUAACUUUGAUAGAGAUGACUAUGCUUUCAUGGCAAGUGAAGGAGCCUCCAUAGCUGUCAUGUCCAAGUGGAUUAUAAAUUUAGAUACUAUUGAAUACCGAACACUAUAUGAAUACUUAUUUGAUACUUAUAAAAAAAUUCCAACAACAAAAGUUUGAUUUCGAGACAAUAGCAUGAUACAAGCUAUUGAAAUUGGCUCCAUUGUAGUAGAGAUUGUAAUAAAGAAUCAAACUAAGAGGAUCAAAUUGAAGAAAGUCUUAUAUGUGCCAAAGAUAAAGAAGAACCUUUUUUUGGUUAGCAAACUUAUAUCACAAGGUUGUAAGGUUCAAUUUGAGAUGAAUGGGAGUUUUGUGAAGAUAUUAGGUGAUGAAAAUGUUGCCAAAGGUCUUAGAGAUGGCAACCUCUACUUUAUUAAUUGUAAGAUAGUUAAUAGAUUUGAAGUAGCAAUAUCUAUUGAGUUUCAACAAGAUUAAGAGAAGUUUGAGAUUUGGCAUCAAUAACUUAAUCAUUUGAAUGUAUAAAACAUAAAAAAAUUCUAAUUUAUCGUAAGUAACUUAGAUUUUAGUUAAUUUAGCUUUAAUAUCAUACCACUUACUUUUAAAAGUUGUAUAGAAGGCAAAUAACAAAGUUGCAAUAAGUACUGAGAAAUUCUUAGAGAUUGAGCAUUUUGAUAUUUGUAGACCAAUGAAGAUACUAUCAAUUGAAGGAAAAAGAUACUUGGUUACAUUUAUUGAUGAUUUUUCAAGAAAGAUAUGGAUUUACAUCUUUAAAGCCAAGAGUGAGUAUUUUUUAAGGUUUAAAGAAUAUAAAGUACUUGUAAAGAAUGAAUGUGAAUGUAAGAUCAAAGUAUUGUGCAUAUAUAAUGGAUGCAAUAGGGGCAAUAUGGCUAAGAUAACUUUUGAGGACAUUGAAGUAGUGCAAAAAGAAGCAACUCCAAUAAAGUGUGAUAAUCAAGAAUGUCUUCUAUUUGUAAAGAAUCCAAAGCACCAUUCAAGGAUUAAGCACAUUGAUAUUUAACAUCAUUUUAUAAGAAAGAAGAUUGAAAUGGGAGUAAUUGGCAUGAAGUAUUAUACAAUAGAAGACAUGCUUAAUGAUUUAUUAACAAAGGCAUUAAUAAAAGAUAGACAUCACAUAUUGAUAAAGGCAUUAGGAUUGAAAGUCCUUGACUAAUAGCAAAAUAAAAGUAUUAAAAUAAAUAAAUAAAUAUAAAAAUAAAAUAAAUUAUCUUAUAAAAAAUAUUAUCUUAGAUAAAUUAAUAAUGGUCAAAAGAUUAGAUCUUGAAAUGUAAAAAGGCCAAGAAACAAGAUAGAUGAAUGGACAAAGAAUCUUAAGGAUAUAUAAGAUAUGUUAAAAAUAUAUCUUUAUAAUAAACAAGAUAUCAAUGGAUAGUCUUGAUAGAAUGUUAGAUGGAUGUAUUCAUCAAAGGAUUGAAGUUAUUUAUUAAAGAAACAACCACCACCUAUAAAUAAUGAACAAUGGAAGUAAAAAUUACCUUACUCCAUCUUUUCUUUAUAUAUAAUUUUACUAAUGUUAAGUAUUGUGACUUCAAUUUUUUUUUCUUCAAUAACAAGAGUAUAUUAAUCUUUUAGUUUUUUGAAAUUCAUAUCAUUAAUAGUUUGACAAGAAUACUAACUUAUUGUCCUUAUUUUGUAUUAGAAAUAAGUAGAUGUCAAGCAUAUGAACUGAAAGAUAAUGCAUAAAUCAAUGAAAUUCAUGUCAAAGAAAAAGUAAAAAAAUAGAAAUAAGAAAGUAUGUAUAUUAAAAAGAAACUAGAAUGGCUUGUUGCCAAAAGACAAAAAAAACUUGAGACUCUUGAAAUUAGAUUAGAAGCAAGAAAUGAAUUGAUAAGAGUGAAUUGGACUUCAUUUUUAUUUCUAUAUAUACUAUCUAACUAAGGACUACAUGGUGAUGUUCUAUAGGACCUCUAAUAUGUAUUGACUUUGUAGGAUACAUGCCUUAAUUUAUAAGGUAAGUUUUUUUAUAUGUUUGCCACAUAGUUAGCUUAUUCUUCAAGCUACCAAUAUAUGUGAUACAUGGUUAACUUUUUGACCAAGUUUCUAACUUAAAAAUCAACAAUGGACACCUAUAAAGUCAAAGCAACGUCUAUAAAGCUUCUAGAAAGCUUUUUCAAAAGAUAUUCUAGAAUAAAAUUAUUUUUAUCUACUUCUAUCUACUUCUACUUAUUUAUAGAAGUAAUUAUUGGCUUACAUGUGUAUGUCCGUGAUAUUACUCUACCUUCUAGGAAUGAGUUCUACGAGGAGUGAUCAUCAUAUGUUGAAAAAAUCUAUGAUGCAACAAAUUAUAUUUGUCACAUACUUAGAUCUUUGUUCUCUUUGAAGAUGGUUGAUAAGGCUUCUCAACCAUUGAUAGUGUUCCAUAUCAAGGCAAAAAGACCACCCUAUUAUUUGGUCAUUAUUGGGACUUUUAUAACUUCCUUCAAAUAAAACAUUUGGGACACCGUCGAGAGUAUUUUCUACCUCUAAUAAAAUUUUCAAACAUCGGGAGUCUCUUCUAAGGUCAUGAUACCAAACGCAUUGUAUCUUCCAUCUAUUUGAGGAAAAACAUGUCGUUCUUGAGGAUCUUCAUCUCAAUUGCUUCAUCUUAAAGGUUGUGGCAAUUGCAAUGUCUCAUCCAAUAGAUCAGCAAACAAAGGCUCUUUAGUCAAAUCUGCUGAUUCUUGGUUCUCCAUCUCGUCAACGUCACAACUACAAAGAAGCUACAAAUAAGGAUUGAAAAUAAAAUAUUAUGUUGCCUAGAUCUUUUUUCUUUUAUAGGGAAGGUCUUCAUGUUGAUUUUGAUGGAUAUUAUUGAUAAAAAGCCUCCAUCUUCUUUAUUAAAUUUAUAAGAUUCUUUAGUAGCUCCCAUGUGUAUUCACUAAUAUUAUAUUUGUACCAAUGAAAAAUAUAUUCCAACUUACUUUGGCACCACCUUGAGUCUAAAACUUCUUUUAUUUUAAAUUCUUUAUUAUUAUCCACUUCAAUAGGAAGAGGUAGUAUUUGUCUUCUUCUUGGUAUGUCCAUUAUCUUGUAUAGUUCAAGAAGAGACACAUGGAAUAUUGGAUGGAUUUUCAUUGACUCUAGUAGGUAUAAAUAAUAUGCAAUUGGAUUGAUUUGUGUAAAACUAGGAAAUAGUUAAAGCCUAUGAUAGUCCAACUUGUCAUAAAGAUAAGUAGUCUUGAUAUUGUGACAAAGUAACCAUACCUUGUCACACACGUAAAAUGAUCAUUGUUCCUUUCGAUAGAUAUUCUCAUUAAUCUUUUAUUGUUCUUAAGCUCCUUUUAAUUGCACCUUCAUCGUUGCAUGUAGCUCUGAUAAACAAUUUACCAAAUCUUUUGCCGUAAGAUUAUCACCUUUUAAAAAGUCAAAAGUAUCAAGUCAUGGAUGAUAACCAUAAUUGAAAAAGAAAGGUAUUUUUUUUAUAGAAGAAUAUAGUGAAUUAUUAUAAGAAAUUCUACCAAUGGCAAAAAAAUUAUCCAAUCAUCUUAUUGGUAGUUGAUGGUAUAUCUUAAAUAAUGCUCCAAAAUUUAAUUAACACACUCAGUUUGUUUAUCAGUUGAUGAUGGAAUAUUAAAGAUAAUUUUACAUCUAGUUUUAGAAUCUUAAAAAGAGUUUGUAAAAAUCUUGAUACAAACUGAGUUCUCAUAUCUGAUAUGAUAUCUUUGAGUAAUCCAUGAUAACAAUAGAUGUUGUUAAGAAAGAAUUUAGCUAUUUCUUCAUGUGUGAUAGAUUUUGUACAUGGUAUAAAAUAUGCCAUCUUAAUAAAAUGAUCUACUAUCACAAAUAUAGAGUCAUAAGAACCUGAGAUUAGAAGAUCUGUGAUGAAAUCCAUAGAAACAGAAGACCAUGAUUAUUUUAGAAUGGAUAAUGGUUGAAGAAGUCCAUAAGCUCGAUGACGAGGAGUUUUUGAUCUUGAACAAAUGUCGUAUAAUUGAACAAAGUCUUUCACACCCUUUCAUAUUUGUGACCACCAAAAAUCUUUAGAUAUAAGCUCUAAAGUCUUAUUGUAUCCAAAAUGUUGUGCUACUGGAAAGUUGUAACGUGCUUGAAGAAUAUAUAAUCUUGCUUCUCUUUUUUGAACAUAUAAUCGACCUUUGAAAUAAAGUAGGUUAUUUUUGAACUCAAACUUAGAAGUAUCUUAGAACUUAGAAGAAAGAUUCUUGAUAUUAAGAAUAAGAAGAUCAGAAGACAUACUUGAUUGGACUUAUUUCAUAACGGUGGAAUCAACAAUCAAUGUUGAUUUUAUUACUCAAAGUUGAAAAUACUCUAUUUUCAACAAAAUUAUUCUUUAUUGAUCAAAAGAUACAUCUCUUUUUUUUGGUACAAGAUAAGAAUAUCUAGAAAGGAUAUCUGACAAAUCUUCUUAUUUUUUGGAUCGAUAUGUAAUCUUGAAAUCAAAUCUUGAUAAAAACAUGCUCUAAUAGGCUUGACAAUGAUUCAAAAUACUUGCUAACAUAAAGUACUUAAGAUUCUUGUGGUCCGUAUACAUGGUGACUAGAUUGAAAGUGCCUUCUAGAUGAUGACACCAUUUUUAAAAUGAAUCCAUAUUUAGAAGAAGCUCUUUGUCAUGGAUUUUAUAAUUAAUCUUAAUUAUUAAAAAAAAUUUGGAAUGAAAAGCUACUUAGUGAAGUUUAUCAUUUAUUCUUAUUUGUAACAAUACGACAUCCAAAGCAAAGUUUGAUGCAUUUGUUUCCAUAAAAUAUGUCUUAAAAAAGUCAAAAAGAUACAAGAUUGGAGCACAAAUAAAAAUUGGCUUCAAAGCUUCAAAAGAUGCUUCAACUUCUCUGCUCCACUUAAGUUUGUCUUUGCAAGUCAAACAUAUAAGUAGAGCUACAACUCAAGAAAAGUCUUUGAUAAAGAUCCAAUAAUAGUUGGCAAAGCCUAAAAAGCAUUAAACAUCUCUUAUCAUUUUUAGAAUCUUCUAAUUCAUAAUCAUUUGAAAUGAUGUAUCUUAAAAAGUUGACUAAAAUAGUAUGGAAUACACACUUUUCUAUCUUGGCAUAGAAUCCAGCAUCUCUUAAUUUUUGUAACACAUAAAAAAUAUAAAGUUCAUGUUCAUCUGUGUUCUUGGAAUACAUCAAGAUGUUAUUCAAAUAACAGAUAACAAAAUCGUCCAAAAAUUCUUGAAAAAUAUUAUUUAUUAAAUAUUGAAAAGCUAUCAAUGAAUUUGUAAGUCCAAAAGGCAUGACGUUGCAUUCAAAAUGUAUAUAUAUAGUUCAAAAUAUAAUCUUUCAUUCAUCUUUUUCUUUAAUACAUACUAGAUUGUAUGCUCUCCAUAGAUCUAUUUUUGUAUAGAUCUAUUUUUGUAUAGAUCUUAGCUUGAUUCAAUUGAUUGAGAAGUCUAGAUAUCAAAGGUAGAGGAUACCUAUUCUUAAUGGUGAUCUUAUUGAGUUCUCAAUAAUUAAUAUACAUCCACAAUGAUCCAUCUUUCUUCUUUACAAUUAAGAUUGGAGCUCUUGUUGAUAAUUUGGAAUGUCGUAUAAAAUUCUUGGCCACAUUUACUUCAUUAUAUUCUUUAAGUUCAACCAAUUUAUUUCAUAACAAACUAUAGAUUGGUCCAAAUGGCGGUGUUCUCCUUCUUAAAGGUCAAUUGAGCAAUCAUAGGGAUGAUGUUCUAGAAGAAUAUUUGCAUUCUUUUUUUCAAAUAUAUCUUGAAAUUCUUGAUAUUGGCUUACAAUGCCACUUGAAGUCUUUGCAUCAUUAGAAAUAGGUGUGGCAUAAAUAAGACAAGGUGAUCCUUCUUUUGCAAUAUGUAAAAAAGCUCUCACACCUACAAAUACAAGUUUUAUUAUCCUAAACUUAUGACUUUUUACUAAAUUAAUUUCACUCUUAGUUAUACAUUUAGAAAAGUCAAGAAUAUGAGAAAUCCAAUCUAUACAAGGAUUAUACUUUUUUAACCACAAUAAAUCUAAAAUGACUAGAUUGAAAGAAGAUCUAAUUAUAUUAAAGAUUACGCAACUAUUAUGAUCAUUUAUUACUACAUCUAUAGAAAGUGUUUUAUGAAUAACAUCUCUAAAAGAUAACAGAUGACCAUCUAUGAUUUCUAUAUGAACAAGGUUAGUUUUUUGUAUUAAUGGUAUUUUAUAACUUUUAACAAAUUUUACAUUUAAGAAACAAGGUGAGGCUCAUGAAUCUAUUAAGGUGGAGGCUUUAUAACUAUUAGGUCUUAAAUGCACAUCUAUUAUAAAACAAAAAGAGGGUUUUGAGGAGAGGAUAGGACUUUCAUUAGAAAUUGUAUAAGAUUCCAAUCGCAUGGUCCCUAUUAUAGUUGAACAAAUUUUUUUUCUAGUACAUUGUCUUUUUUGACAAUUGUGCUCUUCAUUUUUUGAUUUUUUUACUUCUUUAGAAAAUGUUGAGCAGUAUGUUUAGGUUCUCCACAAUAUAAAUACAAUCCUUUUUGAUAGCAAUGAGUCUUUUUUUACUCGAUAAGAGGUUUAAAACAUACUACAUCAAAUUCUAUAUCCUCUAAUUUUGAAUGUAUGUGUUGAGGAUAUGUUGGUAUUGCCAUUGAAUUGUAGUAAUAUUGAGGCCCACUUGUUCAACUCAUAGAUCAAAAAUCAAAAAUUCGAUUGUUGUACUUUACAACAAAGUCAAUUACUUGAUUCAAUGUUUGAAGAUCAUAUAAGUUGAGCAUGAAUUUCUUUACUUCAUAUUAUAAUCCAUAGAAAAAUUGGUUAAUAAGUGCAACAUCAUCUCACUUGAUAUCAUUUGUAAGUUGUCAAAAUUAUGAAGCAUGUAAUGUGAAGGAGGCUUCACUCUUAUUUCUAUAUAUACUAUCUAAUUAGGGACUAUAUGGCAAUAUUCUAUAAGACCUUGAAUAUGUCUUGACUUUGUAGGAUGCAUGCCUUGACUUAUAAGGCAAGUUUUUCUAUAUGUUUGCUAUAUAAUUAGCUUGUUCUUCAAGCUACCAACAUGUGUGGUACAUGGUUAAUUUAUUGACUAAGUUUCUAUCCUAAAAGUCAACAAUGGAUACCUAUAAAAUCAAAAAAACAUCUAUAAAGCUUCUAAGAAGCUUUCUUAAAAGAUAAUAUAAAAUUAACUUACUUUUACCUAUUUCUAUCUACUUUUAUUUAUUUAUAUAGGUAAUUAUUAACUUACAUGUGUAUGUUAGUGACAAUAGAUUACUUCAUUUCUAUUAUUGUGUUUUGAAGGUUUCGGACUAUCUAUCUUUAAAUUCACUUUUAGUUUUUUAAUAUUCAUUAUUUUUCUUAAAGAGAGAGGACUAUUUUUCUUUAAAAAAACUUUUAUUUGAUAUUACAAGUUGCAAAUUACUUUCUUCAAAUUAAAGAGAUUAUAGAUGCUACUUUUACCAAAAGUGAAAAUAGAUUUACAACUAUUUUAGAUCUUUAUAUGCUUGUCAAUACUUUGAAGAUAGAAAUCUCACAUAUUUCUAAUGCCAAUCAUGGAGGUAGUAGUUUGAUACCUAUAAAAGAAGUCUACAAUGAAGUUCAAAGUCUAUGCAAAGAAAUUAUAUAAUUGAGAGAAGCAAGUAAAUCAAACUUACAACCAAAUCAAAGAAGUUUUGUUAUUCCAAGUAUGAGAGAGAUAAGGAUAAAUAUGCUUAAAAAGUUUGAUGUAAGAAGAUCAAAAUUUUGAAGAUAUCUACAAUAAAUAAAGCUCUAUCCAAAGUUGCAUCCUUUUCAAUACUCUAAUCGAUUUACUCAAGUUGGAUUCAUAGAUGUUAUUCUUUGUAAGAAUGUUCUUUCUUAAUUUGUACCUUUGAUGGAAAAAGUUUCAUGUCUUUUAUAUAAUUUGAAUUCAUUCUUAGAAGUAUUUAUGGCUACUUUUGGAGAAAGUGAUUAAAAAAGGAUAGUAGAGACCAAACUUAUAUUUUUACAAUAAGGAUCACAUUCAACCAAUAUAUAUAUUAUAAAAUUCCAAAUUCUUGCUUGCAAUAUAUAUUAGAAUGAUAAAGCCCUUGUCAAUCAAUUUUUUUAUAGAUUGAAAGAUAAUAUCAAAGAUUUUCUAUUGAUGACAUCUAGAGCAAGUUUAUUAAAGGAAUUUAUUUCUAUAGCCAUUAUAUAUAAUAAUUAAUUCUUUGAAAGAUGUUAAGAAUAAAGAUUUAAUUAAAGAUAUAUAAAUUAAGCUAUACCAAUAGCUUCUAAGUUUAAAAAAGUUUAUUCACGAAGACCAAAACCUAUACAAAUUGACAUGAUAUGUUUUAAGUCUCUUCUUGAAUAAAAAAAAUUUGAUGUCAUCAAGAAAAUUUAUACUUAUAUUGUAAAGAACCUAAAUAUAUUGCUCAAUAUUAUCUAAAGAAACAACAUAACUACAAAAUUGAGAAUAUGGUUAUCAAAGAAGAUGAUUUGUUAUAAAAUAAAUUUCUCCAACUACAAUAAAGAUUGUACGAGUAGAAUCUUGCAAAAUACCUAGUAAAGGUCUUAUUAUCUUCUGAAAUCCCUCUUAAUAUUUUAUAAUAGAAAUUUAUUUCGAAUCAAAAAAUCACAAAGUCUAUGUCUUACUAGAUUUAAGAACCUUAGCUUAUUUUAUAGGCAAAGCCUUUAUUAAAAAAUAAUAAAUAUCUUUAAUCAAGAAAAAUAGACAUGUACAUGUGAAAGGCAUAGGUAGUCAUUUUUUGUCUUUUAGAGAUGUUAAUCAUAAAACAAUUCAUUUAAAUAUAGCAACUAAAGAUCAUAAUAGCUUAAUAAUAUUUAAUAUUAUUAGAUCUCCAUUUAAUCUACUUAUUUGAAGAUUGUUGUAGUUAGAGAAGCAUAAUCCUCAAAUAAACUAGACUUCUUAAAAUCUAAAAUUUCUUUAUAAUUAAAUCCAAGAUCUUGCUAGUUGAGUAAAAAUUUAUAAGUCCAGUACAAUCAAAUCUUUGUUAUUAGGUGCAAGAGCUUUGAUACAUGCAAUAAAAAAAAGAUCAAUUUUUGCUAUAUUUUCUACAUCUAUUUUUAAUAGAAAAAAACUUCAAAUGGCAUUUUAAGCUAGUACCAAGAUUAUCAAGACAUUUUCAAGAAAAAAAAUAUAGCUAUUCUUUUAAAGCAUUGUCUCUAUGACUGUUCUGUUGAUCUUUAAGAUGGAACUCAACUACUAUUUGGACCAAUUUAUAAUUUAUCACAAAAUAAGUUGGUUGCACUCAAUAAAUAUAUUAAUGAAAACUUAGCUAAAAACUUUAUAUGCCAUUCUAAAUUUCCAAUAGGAACUCCUAUCUUAUUUGUAAAGAAGGUCCAAACUAUGAUAGAUUAGAAGAUUUCAAAAAUAGUCAAAGAAGUCUAAUUUUUUUUAGAAUUUAUCAAUUAUUAUCAAAUCUUCAUCAAGAAUUUUUUUCAAGUUGAAGCUCUUCUUACAUGUUUGAAAUAUAAUGACAAAUUUAAGUGGAAUAAAGAAGCUGAAAUAUCUUUUGAAGUCUUGAAGCUAAUAUUUAUUUUUGCAUCAAUCUUAUAUUUUGUCAAUCUUUCUAAGGCAUUUUUUUAUAGAAAUUGAUGCAUCAAAUUUUACUAUAGAUGUAUUAUUGUCACAAAUAGACAUAGAUGAUAAGUUCUAUUUGAUAGCUUUCUAUUCCAAGAAAUUUUUAAAAAUCAAAUUAAAUUACAAGAUUGAAGGCAAAGAGCUACUUACAAUCGUGGAUUCAUUUUAAAAAUAGUGUCAUUAUCUAAAUGAUCCUUUUAGUUUAGCCACCAUAUAUAUGGAUCACAAGAACCUCAAGUACUUCAUGUUGGCAUGUGAUUUGAAUUGCUGCCAAGCAUAUUGGAGCAUAUUUUUAUGAAGAUUUGAUUUUAAGAUCACUUAAUGAUCCAAAAAAUAAUAAGGUUUAUCAAAUAUUGUUUCAAAAAAUUCUUAUCUUAUAUCCAAAGAAUCAAAUGCAUCAAAAUAAGUAUUUAUUGUAGCUUUAGUUAGAACGUCUAAUAAAUAUUCUUCUUCAUUGUUAUCUUCUAUUAUAUUAGUAAAAGUUUCUUUUUUUUUUUAAUUAAAAAAUCAUUUAUUUUAUUUUAUUUUUUAGAUUUAUUGCAUAAUACUUUCAAAAAUAAUAUUUAAAUUUUUCAUAUUUGUAGCAAGUGAUAUAUAUUUUUUUAAUCACUAUUUCAAAGAUGUGUCUUACUAUUGAAUUUACACCUUUCUGUUGUAAAAAUAUAAAAUAAAUAAAUAAAUAAAUUUCUAUUUUUUUUAAUGGAUUUUUCUAUUCAAACAAUAAAUCUAUAGUAGACUCUUAAAAGCAUAGUUUUGAUAUCAUGUUGGUAUAAAAAAGUAUUUACUUUAGCAUAUAUUAAUGAUAUAAUAUUCUAUAUAAUAUCAAUGAUUAUUAAUAUAGAUUUUUUUAAAGACAAAUAUAUAAUAACUUCAUCUAAUAAAGAGGAAUAAAACUCUAAUUACCUCAAUCUAAGGAAUAAGUGGAUACACAUGAUUUUAAUCCCAAUUCUAAAGAAUGAAUAAGUAGAGGAUGACAAUAUACUAAUAGAUGUAUAGGCAAAUAAAAAUCACAUCAAAAAAUAAGAGACCACAAAAAGAAUCUAUAUGAAAAAUGAAACAAAUCAAUUUUAUUAUUUGUCAUCAUAAAUUGCCUCUCAAUUGCUUAUUAAUUUAAUAUAUUGCUACUAGUCUCAAUAUGGAAUUGUUAUUAUAAGCUCAAGGAAUUCCAGAUAGGAUGAAGCAUUGGUCACAAAUAAAAAAAUAAAAAUAUUAUAUAUACUCUCAAACAUAUUGAAAUAUCAAAAAUAUCCAUGUAUUUUUGGUAAUAGCAAAUAUAUCCCCUACUUUUGUGAUGAUAUCAAAUCUAUCCUUGAAUGUAAUAAGUUAUAAUAAUUAUUUAUUUUUUAGAUGCAAUUGAGGCCUAAACCAUAUAUUGCAUUGUCAUAAUAAAGAGAGUUUUGCUUCAAGAAAGCAUUGAGCUUCUAGCAGGCACUAAUUACUCAAACAAGUUGUAAGUUUAUAAAAUACAAAUCUUAUUUGUAGCUUGUCUUCAUGAAGAUAAUUAUAUCAAAUGUACAAGUCUUGGAUGCACAAGAGUCUCCAAGAUGUGAUUAGAUAUCCUAAAACUACUUCUAUUCUUAUAGAGAUUCCUUCCAAAUUUGUAUUAUCCAAUAACUUCCAAUCUAAUCAUUCAAUUGAAUUAAAAAAAAUUUACAACUUAACUUAUAUCUUUAACUACUUCUACAAAAAUAAUCAACUAUAGAUUCAUUACAGAUCUUUAGUUAUUACCUAAUUUCUAGUAGAAGCUAAACAUAUUAAUUUUUAGAUAUUUACACACUAAAUCUACUAUUUUUCAAAAAUCUAAUACUUAAAUAAUAUGAUAUUUUAUAUAUAGAUUUUUAACAUACUUAUCUAUAUUUUUAGAAAUUUUGAGCCAAAAAUUCAUCUAAAAAUUCAAGAUGUGGUUCAAACUAAAACCUUUAUUAAAAGAAUUUACUUAAAAAUUUUAAUUUUGAAGCUUUGACUUCAAAUAGAUCUAUUUUCUUUGUUCCAAAUCGGAAUUUAUCAAUAUCUUUGUAUAAAAUAUAAUUCUUUAAGUCAACUUUUGAACGUCACUUUUAAAUCUCCAAAAGAUCUCAAAUAACUCCUUUUAUUCAAAAAAGGUGGUAGUAGGUAUAAUUUUAAGAUCCUAACUUCAAGCAUCCAUUUCUCUGUCAAUAAAAAGUCCAAAUUUCUUAAUUUUUAUACAAAAAUUAUAGUCCUCAAUAUAAGCUAAUAAAUCCUAAUGUUUGAACUUAAAGUGGUGACCUUAAAGAGGCCUAAAAUUCCAAUAUGGUCUCCAAAAACAUCUUGAAGUCCAUUGGACAUGACCUUCAACCAAUGAGAAUGAAGUCCUCCAUUAAUUUGUCUUAUUCAUCCACAUAGAAUGGCCUAGAAGUCAAAAUAUUAUAUCCUUGAUAUCAAAGCCUCUCUAAAAUCUUUAUCAAUAAAUCCUAAAAUUUAUAUUUUUAAUUAAAAAACUUAAAUAAAUAAAAUAAAUAUUUUAUUUAUUUAUUUAUUUAAUUUUUAAUUUUUUUAAUUACAAUCCAAACUUUCAUAAUAUUUCAUAUUAUUUUUACAUAUUAUGCUACUUUCUACUAUAAUAGCACAAAAUUUAGCUACUCAUAUCAAAGUCAUCUAAUAUUAAAUCCAAUUCCAAGCCAAACAAUUGAGUGCUAAAGUUGUACAAACUAUUUGACAUUAGCCUCAUUGUUCUUGCUACAUGCAAUUAGUUUACUAUAAAAUGAAGAAAUUCUUUAAAAAAUGGAAUAAACUAAAGCCUAUUUAGCAUGAAAACUACUCAAUUGUAUGUAGCUUUAUCUAAAUAUAAUUUCAUUGCAUAAAAACUCUAACUCUCGCCAAUUUUCUAAGAAUGAUGCUCAAGAAGAGAUGUUAAACACGAAAUGUAUAGAGCAUGAUGUUAGUCUGACUUUUCUUAUUGUUAUUGAAGAUUAUGAGAGAUUCAGUCUUUACAUCAAAGUGGGUGCCUACAAAUCAAGCAUUUUGUAGUCAUGCUAAAUUAUCAUUAUUAUUUAAAAAGAUGUCAACACCGUACAAACAUUUGUAUAAGACAUCUACAUAGCUACUACCACCGCACCUUCUUCCUUCCUUCCUUCACUUUAAACUCUGUAAAGUAAUAUCAUAUUACGUGAAGUCUGCUUGAAAAUGUACUAAACACUUGACUUUAGAAGGAAAAAUAGAACUUAUAAUAAAAUGACUUUAACAAUUUUAAUAGAAUCUUAAACAAAAUUUAAUUAAAUUAUAAAAAUAUUAAUUAUUCUUUGAUUAAAUCCAAAAGAAAUUUCAAGAACUUACAAAAGAAACAUAAAGAAAUUAUAAAUUAAUCUUAAUAAAAUAUAUAAAAUUACAACAAUCUUAAAGAAAUAUCAAAAAUAGUAAUUUUAAUUAAAUCCUAAUCAAAUCUUAAUAAGACCCUCAAAAAAUAUUAAAAAAAUCUUAAUUCAAUCUCAAUCAAAAUUAAAUAAAAUUCAAAAUUUUAAAUAAUCUUAAUUAAAUUGUAAAUUUUUUUUAAUGAAAUCUUAAAUAAAACUUAAUCAAAUUCUAAAUAAAUCCUAAUCAAAUCCUUAGUAAAUCCUAAUCAAAUUCUAAAUCCUAAUCUUAGAUUAAAUUCCAAUGAAAUCUUAAAUUCUAUUCAAAUCUUAUUAAAUCCUAUCAAAUUCUUAAAAAAAAUCCUAAUAAAAUCUUAAUUCCUAAUCCUAGCCAAAUCUUAAUAAUGUCCUAGAUCUUAAAUAAUUCCAAGUAAAUUUCAAUUAAUUACUAUAAUUAUUUGAAUCCUUAAUAAAUAUUAAUUGAAAAAUAAGUCUUGACUAAAAUUUCACCUAAGUUUCAAUCAACAAGCAGUUAAUACGUACACAAAAUUUGAAAAGAAUCUAACUUAUUAAUUGAAAGGAAAGCUCCCAAAAUCUAUUAUUCAUUGAUUGUAUUCCUUUUUUGACUUGAAUAUUGAUCUUUUAAUACUAAUUUCUCCUUUUUAAAUUAUUUAAUUGCUUCAAAAAUCAAAUUUUGUAUUGAUAUUUUAGUUUGAAUUGCUCUCAAUAAAUUUUUCUUCAAUCCAAUUUACACAUAUUGCUAAAUCUCAAAUUUUUGGAACCAUAAUCCACAAUAGCCCUUAUUUUUUCAAUCAAACUACUUGAUUGACCUCAAAUUUUUCAUACACAUUUAUAAUAAGCACAACAAUAAAUUACUAAAAUUUUUAUUAUAUCCAUACUAUGAAACUUACAAACUUCUAAAAUUAAUAGACCUAUUUUUAUUUUUCAAAAUCUAAAUCCUCUAAGUACAUCAUUAAUUUUGAAAAUCCUUCAAAUUUUUAAUAUUAAUCCAAAUAAUAUAAAACUAAUACUCAAAAAUCUCUUUUUAAGUUUUCUUUCGAAUCUAAGUCUUUGAUUUGUAAAAAAAACCUUGGAAUCGCUCUAGGUACUUAUUUUGUGCCUUAAAAUUUGAUUUUGAUCCUAGUUAGCAACUGGUCCUCUUCAAAAAUUAAUUCUUAUUUUCUUGAGGUAAUUUUUGCUAAAAUCAAUUCCUAACUUCUUCUUAUAUAUGUCUAUAUUUUAUUUCUCUAAUCUACAUUUUUUUGCCUUAUUUAUGGUUUAACAAAGUAAAUAAAGUCUAUUUCCAUAAAAGAUAGUUCUAACACUAAUAGAUUUUAUUAUUUGCCUAUCAUUUAUUUAUAUUUUAUAUUAUAUAUUUUUAAUUAGGCUCUUCUAUAAUAAUAAUUUUUUUUUUCUUUUUUUACCUAAUAGCCGUGUUACUACACAAAAUCCAUCUUCCUUAAACUUGUGCAUCUUCUAAUAUAUACCAAUGAUUCUUUAAUUUGUUGAUGUAAGAUAUUUUUUAUCUUGGUCAAAUUCUUGAUCUUCAAUGUGUACUUCCAUUCCUAUUUCAAUUUUAUUUAAUAAAUUUUAUUCUUCACCAAAAUAUGUAUAUAUACCUCUUUGUGUAAAUAAUUUGACUCAUUUUUUGAUAAUAGGCAUCUUUAAUUAUACUUCAAUCUAACAAUUUGAUUGACAUCAAAAUUUGUAUAUACAUUUAAAACCAAUAUGUCAAUAUAUUUUCCAAAUUUCACCCACAUAUAUACCACGAAAUUCAAAAAAUCCUCAAAUUUAAAAACAUAUUUUUAUUUCUCAAAUCUUCAUCCUAUAAAGAAUAUUACUAACUUUGAAAAUUCCUCAAAAUCUCAAUAUUGAUUCAAAUGGCAUGAAAAAAAGCAUAAAAAUCUCUUUUCUUAUUUUCUUUCAAAUUCUACUCUUUGAUCUAUAAAAUAAUUUUGGAAUUUCCGUAUAGAUGUGGUUUUGUGCCUCAAGAUCUGAUUUCAAUCUUGGUUUACAACUGAUCCUCUUUGGAUAUCAAUUUUUUGUAAUUUGAGGUAAGUUUUACUUUAACCAAUGAUUAAUUCUUUCUUGAACAUAUCUACAUCAAUUUCUUAUCUCAUUUACUUUGAUUUGGCUUAUUUAUGCCUCUACAAAAUAAAUAGUAUUCCCUUCUAUAAAACAUAGCAUCAAAACUAAAUCUUUUAUUACCUUUUUAUUAUUUAACCUUAUUUUUUUAUUAUAUAUUUCUACUAGGCUCUUUUAUAAUAACAUCUAUAUUUUUAUUUUUCACUAUAUAAUCAUAUUACUACACAACAACAUUUUAUUAAAUCUUUUUUUAUUUUUUUGUCUUGCUUCUUUCAACCUUUUGGCUGUUACUUCAAUAUCCUCAAAUCUUUUUUUUAAUUUUUGAAUCCAUAAUACUAAAAACUCAUCUCUAUUAAGAUCAUUUCUUUAAAGCUAUAUUUUUCAUAUAUGCAUUGUUUCUUCUACUGGCAUAAUUGAUUUUUGUUUGUAUAUUAACUCAAAAAGUAUAUUACCAAUCAUCAUACUAUGAGUGGUGUGGUCUAUCUAUAAUGCAAAUAGUAGUAGCUUAGGCCAUUGAUAUAUUUUUCUAUUACAUAUUUUUACUAAUGCUUUAAAAAUAUGUGAAUGUUCUUGCUCAUUCUUCCUAUUCUCUUUUAGAUUAUAUGUUAUUUUUAAAAAAGAUAUAAUUUCCAUUCUACUAAAGAAUUCUCUUAUUUAUUUUACAUCCAAUUUUCCUCUAUCUACAAUGUUUUUUCCAAUACAACCAUAGAAAAAAAUAAUGUCUUCUAGAAAAAAUCAACAUACACUUUUAGUACUUUUUAUUCUUAAUAGUCAUCUUUCAACCAUAUUUGAUAAAUCUUCUUAUGCAAGUAUUAAAUAUUUCAUUUGUCCAAGUCCUAUAGAAAUUUCUAUUAAAUCUACUAUCAACUUAUAAUAUAGUACUAAAAGAUAACUUUGAUGUAAUCUAUUCCAAUAUCAAAAGUGAGAAUAAACUUGACAAACUUCAUAUGAUUCUAAAAAAUUUGCCAUGUCUUUGAAUAUGUCCUUCCAUCAGUAUUUUUUCUUCAAUUUUUUUAAAAAAAAUCAAAUUCUUCUAUAUCCUACCUAUAAACUUUCAUGAAAUUCUUUAAUAAUCUUUUGUUGAGCUUUUAAACCACAUAUCAUCUAUUGUGGCAUUUUAUUUUCUCUUCUUUGGAUGUUUCCAUAAAUAUCCAUCAUAUAAGAAAUGUCCAUAAGCUUUCUUUUGGAUUUUUUUUUAAAAAAAAUCUAUUCAACUUUCUUAUUGCUUUAAUAUGUUUAAAUACUUUCUAACAUCUUUUUAUUUACCUUUAUAUAAAUCUUUCAAAAAUAUUUCUAAUAAUAUAUUCAAAUAUACAUCUUUUCUUUUUAAUAAUGUAUUAAUGUGAAAUUUUAUAUCCAUGUUAUUUUCUAAAUCAAUCAUAUUUUUUUCAUUAUAAUAUCUUACUAUUAAUAAUAUAUCUGUGAUUAAUUUUUUUUCCUAUAGUGUGCUUAAAUUUUAGAUUCAUAAGUUUGAUAUUAUGCUAUCCACCUUAAUACAGCAAUAUCAAGAGUUGAACAACUUAUAAUGAUGUUCAAUAAAGGUAGACAAUCUAUUUCUAUAAUUAUUGAUACAUCAAUGAAGUAUUCUUUUUUAUUUUUCAUAGCUAUUAUUACAUUCCAUAACUUUCUUUGAUUUGUGUAUAUGCCUUUUGUCUAUCAUUCAAAACUUUACUCCAAAUCUUAUUAUGUAUCUAUUUCUUUGUUUAUCAUCUUAUCCAACUACCUAACUUAUUCUAAUUGGAUUUACAUCAACUACUAAUAUCAUUGGCCUUUCACAUUCAUAAUUUACUUUCUUAAAAGUUGGAGGUAAAGAAAGAAGUCUUUCAAUUUUUUCAUAGUUUUUUUUUUCUUCAUUCUAUUGAAAUUUUUUAUUCUUUUUUAAUAAUUCAUAUAAUAAAUUUUCUACAUGUGCAAAAAGAAAUACCCAUAUAUGAUAGAAAAUUCAUGCUUCUAAAAACCUUCUAACUUCCAUUAUAUUUGUAUAUUUUUUUAUCUUUUUAAUAAUAUUAAUAUUUUUUAUAUUUAACUUGCAUCCAUAUAAUCUAUACAUAUAUCUUACGACCAAAACUUCUUUUACUCCAAAUAUUGAUUUUGCCUCCAAUAAGAUUAAAUGAAUUUCUUCUAAUCUUGCCAAAAUCUUCUAUCAUCAAUAUGAUUUGCCACAAACUUCCUACAUUCUUUUGAAUCUAAUGUCUUAUCUUUUUUUUCUUCUUCACAUUCUUUAAUUGGCACAUCAUUUAAAAAAGAUAUUAUUAUUUUUAAAAUAUAAUCUUUUAAUAUCUUAUGUAUUUAAUUCAUUAUGCAUGCAAUAGAAUUUAUAGCCCCUUAUAGUAAUAUAUACAUUUUGACCAAUUCUAAUGAUGUCUUUAUAGUUUUCAAAUUUCUACUUUGUAUUACCAAUUAAAAUUGAUCAUAUCUUGAAUGAAGUUCUUCCAUAGAAUAAAUUCCUUUCCUUAUAAAUACCUUUGUAAAUUCAUCUACAAUUGAGCUUAAAUUCAUAUAAUUAAUUGUUAUUUUAUUUAUCAAUUAUAUAUCUUAAAUAAAUUUCAAUGCCUUAUUUUUCUUAAAUAUUAUAAAUUACUAAUUGAAAUAAAGUGUAAUAGAUGGUUGUAAAAUUUUCAUCCUAAUCUUUUUAUUAAGUAAUUCAAUUAGAUUUGGCAAAUAGGCCUUUGAAAUUAGAAUUGGCUUCAAAUUCUAUAAUUCAUAUGGAAUUGUGAAAAUAACCAUAGAUACUAUAAUAUUUAGAUUGAUGCACUUUAUUUCAUGUAAUUCAAAUACAAAUGCCUUAUCAUGUCAUAAAAGCAUUUUUUUAAACAUCUCUCUUCAUUUCUUAUCAAAAAAUUCUCACAUCCAACUUUCAAACUAUCUAAUAUCAGUUCAUCCUUGAAUUCAAUAUCUUUUUUUCUUUGAAUCUCUUAAAUUGGGUUGCAUAGAAGCCUCAACUAUUUCCUCAAAAUUCAAUGGUAGUAGCAAUGCUACUAAUUUGAUCUUCUUUGCAAUGAUCUUAUAUUUUGUAUUUACCUUUAUUUUAUACUUAUCCAUAUUUUCUUUCAUUCCAUCAUAAAAUUGCUUAAAAUAUAAAUUUAUUAUCUUAUCACUACUUUCAAAAACUAAAUCCAAUAACAUUUAUAAAUUAUCCAUAGUAUCACCAAAAAAAGUUUUUUCAAAUAUCCUUGAUAUGUAUUUAUCUUUUUCAAUCAUUCUACAUUUCUUCAAUUCAUGCUUCAUAUUUUUGACAUUUUUUAUUCUUAUUUUUCUAAAACUAUUUAUAUAUAUCUAUCUCUUCAUAAUCCUAUAAUAGCCUCAUUUCUUGUACUAAGCAAGAAUCCAUCAUCCCUUCUACUAUUGUAAUACCGCUUUACAAUGGUUUUUAGUAAACAUCCUUUAAGUCAUCAAGAUCUUCAAAUUCUUUCAAUAUCCUUGACAAAAGAUUCUCCCUCAAAUUAUCACAAUUUCUUUCAUGAUUUAUACAAAUUGUUAAAAAUUUCAAAACUUUCUUUCUAUCUUGACUUCUUAUCCUUGUAUAAGCCAAACCAUCAUCCAUAAUCUUUGUUUUUAUUUGUAUGGCAUUACUAUAUAAUUAUUUCAAUAUAAAAAGAUAUGUGGACAUAUCUUAUACAAAGAAAUUUUAUUCAUAACUAACAUCUCAUAUUGUCACUUUAAGAUUUGGACAAGCUUCAUAUAAAUCUCCCUUUGAAUUAUUUGUCAAUCUUAUCAUCUAUCCAUGUUCAAUAUUAAUAGGUCAAUUUUUUAUUUUGUAUAAUUUUUUGAUAACAAAUUGAUUUCAAAAUCAAGAUCAAUUAAUAUUAUAUUUGAUUCUUUUAACUCUUUCAAUUUUAUUAAUAAAUUUGAAGUAGCCCUUGCCUAUUGAUUUCAAGAAUAAUAACUAGAAGCUGGAAUCACAUCUUCUUCUUUUGUAAAUCAAAUUCACAAAACAUCUCCAAACUUUUGUAUCUCAUCCUUUUUAUCUACACUACUUCUUAUUGCUUUUGCUCCUUAUAUAUUUGAUGUUAUAGUAUCUCCUAUAGAUUGCUUUUUUUUUCUUUAUUAGUUUAAUAAUGAUUUCAUGAAAUUCAUGCUUUGUAAUUUUUAGAAUUUUAUUAAUUAUAAUUUUAACCUUUUCUCCUAAAACAUUUUCUUCUAAUAUCUUCUUCAAAUUUGUAGUAGCUUCAAAAUUUGAUUGUAAUUUAUAAGCAAGAGCCUUUGUUUUAUUUUGUUUUGUUUUUUUUUUUUUUUUUUUUUUUUUUUUUUUUGACAAUUUUUUGUUUAUUAGAAAAAAAAUUCCCUUUUUCUUCUUUAUUCAAAAAAUUCCUUUCUUAUCAUGAUUUUUUUUCCCCUUAUAAUUCUUUUUGAUGGCCCUUCAUUAUUUUCAUCUCUCCUUUAUUUUUCUUCUAUUAAUGCUUCAUAUUGACUCUUUGUAAUAUGAACAUGAAUCAAUAAUCCGUCUAUUGGAUUAUUUCACUUAAUAAUUUUUUAAAUUUUAUUACCAAUAUAUUUUUUAAUUAUCUCUAGUAAUUAUUUUUUUUUAGCAUAACUCAUAACACUUGAUUAAAAAGAAUUAAAUUAUCUUAGAAAGUCAAGUUUUAUGAUUAAACAUUUGCUAGGAUUUUCUUCCACUUAAUAUAUUGAUACUUCAUUGCUUGAGAUUUUAAAUGCUUCUUUUAUAAGCAUCUUCAUUCUUCUAUUAUCAAAAUUUGUCUCUAAUUUUUUUCCACUCUUUUAAGUAUAUCAUACUAUCUUUGAAAAAAAGUAAUACCUUUGCCCAAUGCCUCUAUAAAAUCUUUGCAUUCCCUUGAAUGAUCUAUGCUAUUACACCACAUGCACCUAUGUAUUAUAUCUUCCAUUGGUCCCGAUUUUUGUCUUGUUGAUAUUCUUAAUGUUUGAUUCUUCUCCUAAAGUUUUGCAAAUUUUAUUUGCAAAUCUCUCAUCCCUCAUAUGAUUUCACCAAAGUCCAUUUUUUCUUUCUUUGAUGUAACCAUUAAAGUUUGAAUUAUAGACAUAGGAUGGUUAAUAGGCAUUUUUACUUUAGAUGUUUGCAAUGGUCUUUGAAUACCCACUCUAUCCUUUGUUCUUUUUUUCUUUGCAAGCAACCUUAUUGCUUCUUCUACUUCCUUCCAACUCUCUCAAUAAUUAUAUUACUUGAAGAUCCUUCUUAAGUCUUCUAAUCCACUUUAAAAAUGAUUUUUUUUUAAUUCAAUUACUAUAUUUUAAGAAAAAUACAUCCUUCAAUGCUUAAAAUAAAUUCUCUCAUAAACUUCCAGAAUAUCCUAUAAUGAAUUUUUUCGGAUUUUUUAUCUUUAAUGAAAAGGCUAAUUGAAAUAAUUGAAUUAUGUCCUUUUCAAAAAUGUGCUUCAAUUCUAUUGUUUUCAUAUAAUAUCUUAAAUACUUUAUAAUAUUCUUUUUUUUAAAAUGAUUGAUCUUGAUCACAACCACUUGUAAUAUUUUAAUUUUCUAUAUCCUCUUUAUAAUCUUUAACUUAUUGUUAUUGCAUGUAUAGAGUAAAAACCUCAAAUAUUUUUAUAGAAUUGAAUCAAAAUAUAUAUCUUAUCCUCUUCUUGUUCUCUACUUCCAACUCUACUUGAAGCACCAAUUGAAGUAUCAUCCAAAGCCUUUUCUUCCAUUCUCUUGCCUUCCUAUUUUAUAAUUCAAAUAAACCAAAAAAAAAUAAAUACCUUCUAUUUUAAGAAUUUUAUGUCAGAUUUAUUAAAUUAUGUUAUAAUAUGUGAAGUUGUUUGAGAAUGUAUUAGAUACUUGAUUGUGAAAGGAAAAAUUAAACUUAUAACAAGAUGACCCUAACAACUCUAAUAGUAUCCUGAAAAAAAUUUAAUUAAAUUAAAACAAUAUUAAUUAAUCUUUAAUUAAAUCCAAAAGAAGUUUUAAGAACUUACAAAAGAAACAUAUAGAAAUCAUAAAUUCAUCUCAAUAAAAUAUAUAUAUAUAUAUAUAUAUAUAUAGUAAAAAAAUCCUAAAAAAUAUUUAAAAUAAUAAUCUUAAUAGAAUCUUGAUAAAUUCUUAAUACAACUUUCAACAAAUUCUAAUAAAAUUUUAAAUAAAUUUCUAUCAAAUAUUUAAAAAAUCCUAAAUCUUAAAUCCUAAAAUCUUCAUAUUUAUUGAGGUUUCAAAUAGUUAUAGUAAUUGAUUGAAAUUUAUUUGAGAUUAUUUAGGAUUUAAGAUUUUAUUAAAGUUAGGCUAGGAUUAGGAUUUAGGAUUUUUUUAUAAUUUGAUUAAGGUUUGUUUAAAAUUUGAUAGGAUUUGAUUGGAAUUUGAGAUUUCAUUAGAAUUUGAUGUAAAGUUAAGUUUUAAGAUUUUUUUAGAAUUUUUUUAGGAUUUGAUUAAAAAAUUUUAGAAUUUGAUUAAGAUUUGCUAGAUCUCAUAAUUACUUAUUGACCCUAAGUCUAAAAUUUUUGAGACCAUACCCUACAAAAACCCUCAUUAACUUCAAUCAAAUUGCUCAAUUGACCUCAAAUUUUUCAUAUACAUUUACAACAAGUACAACAAAAAAUUGCCAAAAUUUUUAUUUGUAUACAUAUACUAUGAAACUCAAAAAAUCCUAAAAUUAAUAAACCUAUUUUUAUUUCUCAAAAUCUAAACCCUCUAAAUACAUCAUUAACUUUAAAAAUCUCCCAAAUUUUCAGUAUUAAUCCAAAAAAAUAUAAAACUAAUAUUCAAAAAUAUCUUUUCAAAAUUGCUUUCAAAUCUAACUCUUUUAUUUAUAAAAAAACCUUGGAGUUUCCAUAAGUACUCAAUUUGUGCCUUGAAAUCUGAUUUUGAUUUAGGUUGGCAACUAGUCCUCUCCAAGUAUCAAUUCUUCUCUUGUUGAGGCAAUUUUUACUAAAAUAAAUCCCUACUUUCCUCUUAUAUAUGUCUAUAUACUUUAUAUUUCUAAUCUAUCUUAUUUUAUUAUAUUUAUAGCUAAAUAAAGUAAAUCAAAUCUAAUAUUAUAAAAAUUAGUUCUAAUACUAAUUGAUUUUAUUACUUACCUAUCAUUUAUUUAAAUUUUUUAUUAUAUAUUUUUUAUUAGGUUCUUUUAUAAAAAAAAUCCUUUCUUUUUAUACUUAAUUGUCAUAAUUACUAUACAACAGUAUAGAUCAUUUCAUCUUUUCUAUCAUUAUGAAUGUACACUAUCAAUAAGCUAAGAUAUUUAAGCUGAUUUUAUAAGAAAAUGCAAGACAAAAGAAUUCUUGAUCCUUAGUAGUUGAUUUCACAUUGUAGAAUGGCAUUAUUAUGUUGUAACAUAAUUAUAUGGUAAAAAUAUAAUCAAAAAUAAAUUUUUAAUUUAAUCAUCUUAUUUCAAUAGUAAUUCAAGACAUUAAAACAUGGCUUUUAUAAAUGCAUGUUAGUUUAUUUUCUUGUCUUAAUAGCUAGUAGUUGAAAGGUUGAUUAGUAAUUUUACCUUUUACUAUGUAAAAUUUCUUUUAAUGCCUUAAAAAGGCCAUAAAUUAAUAAAAAUAAGAUAGAAGAGGUACAUAAUUAGUAUGGUUGAUAAUAGGAUUAAGUUGAGGAUAGAGUCGGACUAAAAAACCCUAGAGAUAGGUUGGAUUGAUACAUAAGGGUCAACUAUUUGUGAGAUAGGAUCAAAGUGAAAUCUUUAGCUACUAAAAUUACUACCUAGGACAUAGUAAAGAGGUAUUUAAAAUUAAAAAAUUAGAGUUCAUGACCUAACUUCAAGCUUAUUUUAAAAGUAUAAGGCUUAUUUUCAUAGAUUUUCGAAUGACUUUAUAAUUGCUGUUCAAAGUCAAGGUUUGUAUGAGUGACUUGGAAUUUAUACAAUACAAUUAGAGCUAGCACUCUUGAUUCGUUUGUCCAAUUGGUAUCACAUCUAUAGCUCAAAACUUGAUAUUAUUUAGUUGAUUGAAUAUGCUAUGCAUGUGUAAAGUUUUGUAUUAAUCUAAUCUAAUAAUAAAAUUGAGAGAUAUCUAGGUUUUGGUACAACAGGAUAUCAAAAGUUGGCAAUUUGAUAUUAGAUAGGAUUUCUAUGAUAUUUGAAGAUUCUUUUAUUAGAUUAAGGUGAAAUUUGGCAUAGUAAUAGAAGACUUUAAGGUCAAGCUAUAUACUAAUUUUGAAUUGAAAUUAAUAGUUGAAGAAAGAAAAAUCUCUAUUGGAACAUUUGCAUCAACUUUCAAGUUAAUAGUCAAGUAACAUUAGUACAGUUUUUGGACUUUUUCUCACAAUUUUUAAGUUAGAUUGGACUAAAUUUUUCUAAGCAUAUAGAAGACUUAUAGUGGUAGUUGGAUGCAAAAUUUUUCACUAAUUGGAUAAUCAAAUUAGGAGUUACAACUUACCAAAGCUCAUUGACUAGGAUUAAGGCUUAUAAAGAGAAAUUAAAAUUGCAUAAUUAUAAAAGUAAUAAGGCAAUUGGAACUUACAUAUAAUUGAGGUCAUUAAGAAGAUUAUAUUUGAGCAUUUUUUAUUGGCUUUAAGCACUUUUGAAUUAAAAGUCAAAUUGUAUUCUUCUUAUAUAGUUCAAACCUAUUAUGGUUUCUUCAAUAUUUACAAAACACAACUUCACCUUCCAUAGGCAGGUACUUGGUGCAUUUCCAAACAAGACAACCCAUAUUAUGACAACAUAAUUAAUGAUCCAAAAAUAUAUUGGAUAUCUAGUUGUAGAAAAUUUAGCUUUGAUUUAUUAACCAAGCUCUAAUAAGUGAUAUAUUCUUAUUAUAGAAAAUAAAUAAAUAUAAAAAUAUUAAAAGAUAUUCUAUUGAUAAAACCUUUUAUAUUUAAUAAGAUUUAUACAAAAGGCUUUGUAGAGUAUGAAAAAAUUCUCUAACAUACUUAUAUCAUAAUUUUAUUAGAGCUUCAUAUCUCCAUCUUUAAUAUAUGUAUAGAGUCUUAGCUCUCAAAAAUUCCUAUUUUUUGCAUAAAAUACUCAAAUUAUAUCAAAAUUCUUUUAAAAAAUAUUUUUUUCUUCAAAAUAUUAUUUCUUUCUAAAUUUUAGAAUUUCAUAUCUCUUGAUCUAAAUAUUUAUUUAUUUUUUAAAAUUUUUAGAUAAUAUAGCAUUUAUUCUAAAGUUUUAUUACAAAAAAAUUAAAUUAUAAAUUUAUUAUAGAUUAUAUGGCAUCUUAGAAACUCUAGCAUGUAUUCUAAAUCUCAAUUAAUAAGUAUUUCAAUACUAUUUUAUUAUAUCUUAAAAAUCCAAAAUUCAAAUAAUUUAAAAUUUAAUAUGCACCUUUGAAAUAUAAUAAUACAUAUUUAUAUGAACUUUUAGCCAAAGAUUCAUCCAACUGCUCAAGAUAUAACAAGAACCAAAUCCCUUAUGAAAUUGGUUCACCAGCAAACCUCAACUUCAAAUCUUUUGCUUUUUAUAUGCAAAACGUAGCUCUUUAAACUAACUUUCUAAUUGCACAAUCCAAUCUUCAAAAUUCCUUCAUAGACAUGCUCUAUGCUCUAAAAAAUGAUAGUAGGUAUGAAAUCAACACCUUGACUUUAAGAACCUAUAUCUCUUUCAUAAAAACUCCAAAUCAUAUAAAAUUUAUACCAAAAUUAUAUUCAAAAUCUUAAACUUGAUAAUUCCUAAUUUUUGAUGUUUGAAUGUCUUUGAAAGAAUAACCCUAAUUCCUAACAAGGCCUUGAGUAACCUCCUUGAAGCCUAUUGGACAUGACUUUUGGCUAAUAAGAAUAGAAAAUUUUAUCAUCUAUCUCUAUUCAUCUAUAUAGAUAGCCUAACUAUCCUUUUUUAUAUAAAAAUCCUUCUUUAAUUUUUUUCUUAGUAAAGUUUAUAUAAUAUGUGCUCUAACUACUAAAUAAAAGAAAUAAAAUAAGAUUUUAAGAAUCACCAAUAUUUAAUAAAGGUGGCUCUAAAUAUAUAAAAAAAACUAUUAUUAAUAUAAAAAUCAACCUUAAUAGUUGUAAUUUUAGACUAACUACUUCAAAGUAACAAUUUAAUCAUAUUUUAUAACUUAAAUCUAAUAACGUAGCCUUCACCACAUUGUAUAAUAAAUUAUACAUUAAUUAUAUGUAUGCAUUAUUUUCAGAUAGUAGCCAAACCACAAUACAACAAUAUAGUUUGCAACAUUAAAAAAUUGAGUAUUGUGGAACACACUAUGGUAUCGUAAUCAAGCCGUUGUCAUGAUGUAAUAUGGCUAACAAGUAAAAGGGUGAAGAAAAUAUCAUGUUUUGAGGAUCUCACUUCAAAAAUAUUGUAGCAAAUUAUCUUGGAAAAAUAGAUAUUAGUCAAAGGGUAGAAAAAUUAAAGAUGCUAAUACUACCUUUUUACAAAUUAUGCUUCUAUUUACUUUUUAAGGCCAUAAAUAAGACAAAACAAGGUAGAUUAGAAAAAUGAAGGAUAUAAGCAUAUGUAGGGAAGAGUUAGAAGUGCAAAUUAGUAAAAAUUACCUCAAGAAAACAAAAGUUGAUACCCGAAGAAGACCGGUUAUGAACCUGGGUCGAAAUCAGACCCCGAGGCACAAAACCAUGCUUUGACGGCGACUAAAGGGUUAUUUGGGAGAUCGAAGAGCAGAAUUAGAGAGAAGACUUGUGGAAGGAUUUUUAAGAGGUGAUUUCGUGUCAUUUGAAUGAGUAUUGGAUUUUUGAGGGAUUUUCAAAGCGAGUGAUAUUCUUUGCAAAUUCAGAUCUUUGAGAAAUAAAACCGGUUUACAAAUUUUUGGAUUUCGUGACUUUUGUAGCAUUUUUAUGGGUGAAAAUUUAGAAACUUAUUCGUAUGCUUGUUGUGAAUCUGUAUAAGAGAUUUGAGGUCAAUCGAAUGGCCAGAUCGAUACACAUGAAGGUUUUUAUGGGCUAAGGUCUCAGGAUUUAGGGUUUUUAAGACUAGUAAGGUUUUCUUAGAUAUCUAGCAAUCUGCUAAUUGGAUUGGAGAGAUUUUUGGUUUUAUCAGUAGAAGACUUGAUUUCCUACAAGAAAGUGAAAUUUGGAAGCAAUCGAACAGUGGAAAAGGGAGAUAUCAGCGUUGGAAGUUGGCAUCAAGAUUGGAGAAGGAGAGACCAGCUGACAUCCAAGCGGAAUUUUGAGGUCAUCGACUAAUUGGUAAGUGCGAUUUUCUUCAAAAUUUUUAUGCUAGUUUUUUACUUAAACUCCAAGAAGUAUGCAAAUUUUUAGUUAGAAUCAACGGUUCAAUAUUUAGUUAUUUAAUUUUCAAAUCUAUGAAUAGGGUUUGGUUUGGGUUAGGAUUUGAUUAGGGUUUAGGGUUAGGGUUUGGUUAGGAUUUGGUUUAGGAUUUGCUAGGGUUAGGAUAUGGUUUAGGAUUUGAUUUAGGAUUUAGGAUUUAGGAUUUGGUUUAGGAUUUGGAUUAGGAUUCGAAUUAGGAUUUAGGGUUUAGUUCAAGAUUUGGUUAAGGAUUGGUUUAAGAUUUAAGGUUUGAUUAAAGUUUGAUUAGGAUUUGGUUUAGGAUUUAGGAUUUAGGAUUUGGUUUAGGAUUUGAUUUAGGUUUUAGGAUUUGGAUUAGGAUUUGAAUUAGGAUUUAAGGUUUGAUUUAGGAUUUGGUUAGGGAUUGGUUUAAGGUUUAGGAUUUGAUUAAGGUUUGAUUAGGAUUUGAUUUAGGAUUUAGGGUUUUUCUAGGAUUUGAUUAAGGUUGGAUUAGGAUUAGGAAUUGGUUAGAAUUUAAGGUUUUAUUAGAUUUUUGUUAGGGUUUGACUAAGUUUUCUUUAAUAUUCUUUUAUAUUUCUUUAGGAUUUCCUUGUGUUUCUUUUAUAACUUCAAUAAAAUUUAAUUGAGCUUGCUUAAUGUUUGAUUAUGAUUGUUAACGUUUAAUUAUAAAUUCUCUAUAAUCCUAUUGGAUUGUUAGGACCUUUUGUUGCAAUUUUCUUUUACCUUCUUGUAGAAUAAGUAGUUAUUUUCAGAAUGUAGAUAUCUAGUGUAUAGUGUAAACAGGAAUAGAUAACUAUUGAAAAGGUGGUUCAGCAUGUAGAAUGGAUGAAUAGUCAAGAAAAGUAGUUAUCAUCCAUAAUAUAGGAGUUAGUAUCUCGAGGAUGGGAGAGAAGAAGAAAAUGCCAGACUGUGAUAGUCAUGAGCCGGGAUAAGCUUGGUGCUAUCUCUUCUUCUUAAUUUUUUUGUUUCUUUUGUGUUAGUGUUGAUUCUAGUGAAGAGAAUCAAUUUAAUGAAUCAAUGUUUGAUUUACAAAGUUGUUUAUGGAUCACUAUUUAUCAAUUGUUGUGAAAGAUUGAUGAUGUAUGGAAGUUUCCAGUCACUGUUUAUCACAAGGUUGUAAGUCAGUGGAGAGGAAUUGUAAUCAAAGGAAUUGUCUCGAUCAGAUUCUAUGGAUUGGAAGUUGUUCGUUCUAGGGUUUGGGUUAUGCUUGUGUGUUUGUAAAUUACAUAAGGUAUUGAAAUUGAUGUCGUGGUUGUUAUCGUAUUGAUAUGAGAGAGUGGACAGUAGGAAGAAAAGUUAAGUGUUCUUCGGUAUUGUAAGCAUUCAAUAAUAGUGGUUAAUUGUGUGACCCUAAAAAUUGGAGCUCAUAUACAUGGUCUUUCCUUGUGUUUGAAUUCUCCUAUAUGGGUUUAUUCUGGGAGGUUUCUUCCGAAAUAAGUAAAACGACAAUCACAUUUUGGCGCCACUGUCGGAGAUUGAUAACAUUAUUGAGUGUUAGGAAUUAAUUGCUGAAGCAGUAAAGGAGAUUAGGAAGCAAACUCAAUAGAAAUAAUAAAAGAGUAUGGUUAUUAAGAAUGAGAAUUUAACAGCAAAGAGAAUAAAGCAUUUAAAGGAAAGAAUCUAGAGAUUGCAAGCAAGAAAUUUGUUGCGUAACGAGCAAGAUCACAAAUUGAAAAAGAAGCAUUGACAAAGUUAGAUUAAGCCGUGGUUGCAUGCCUGUCAGCAUAUUCGAUUGUACCCAGAAGACGAUCGACCUCUAAUAUUUUAGAAGUACAUACCGUUAAAAAAAUUAUCAAGAGCACUCACAAAGAGCGUUGCUAAUAGUCCAGCAUAUCUCUCAAGCCGUUAAAGGAAAGCGUGGAAGGUACAGAGGAAUUAGGUACCCCAUUGGAUAUUUUCUCAAUUCAAGAUACGUUCGAUUCUAACAAGACUGAUUCUGAAGGUUGGCAUAAAUCACUUGCCAAUAAAGACCAAUUCAGAGUAUAUCAAAACCCGUCAUUUUUACCUCAUAUUCAACCAAUAAAAUUAUUUGGAGAUAAUAAUAGUCAAUCGAGAAGGCAUGGAAGUCCAAAAAAGACUUUUGCGGGAGAUAGUUUUUAUUUUAGUAAAGAAUUGAGCAGAGCACUUGCAUCUUUAAUGGCAUCCGGUGGUCCAGCAGUUCCAAUCGCAAUAGAAAUGGGUGCGAUGGGAGAUCGCACAACUAGCGUGGCUCCAUUACCUACUUUUAGAGGUUUACCAGGAGCCGGUCUAGAUCAAUAUUUAUCACAAUUCUUGACUACAUGUAUAGCCAAUAAUAGCAGAACUGAAGAUAUUUGGUUAAGAUGGCUGCCAGCAACAUUAAAGGACACAGCAUUUGAGUGGUUUAACCGCCAACCUGUGGGACAAUUUAUCAAUUGGGAGGCAUUGAAAAAUACAUUUUUAGCCCAUUUUUGACCAAUUGGUUUUGAAGAAUGUCUUAGAAAAAAAUUAAUGAACAGCAAAAUGGUACCAUGGGAAGCGGUGUAGUCAUAUUAUGGUCGUGCAAUAGAUAUACUUCGAAAAUGGCCAAAUAACCAAAUGUUGGAAUCGUUUGUGUUGUCCAUAUUGAUUAAUAGACUACAUCCACCAGAAUUGAAGAUGUUUGUAAAGGAAGCCAAAUUAGCCACCAUUGCAUCAUCUCUUGAGCAAGUAAAAGUAUGAAAGGAAUGUCACCAAGACCAAAAAUUAACAAUUGGAGCCACGAUGAUUCGAUCUCAAGGAGGUUAUCAAAUGACAAAUUGAAAUGACGCAUCGGAAAGUUAUCUGGGAAGAAAUGAUUAUGGUACAAUUCCACAGGGAAUAGUGGAUGCGGUUCCAUUAUAGGUUGUACCACCAUCAUCAUCACACCUGUAUAUGCCUUAUUUUGUGUAUCAAAAACCAAUACCUAUGAAGGAAUUGCCAAAUGUAUUGGUAUCAAGGGAUCCCAAUGAGUCAUUGCUGUUAACAUUGACAAAAAAAAUGGAUGAAUUGGCUGUGAAUCUGGCCAAGGACAAGGAAAAGAGGCAUAAACCAACCAAUAUGCAUCCCUAUGUCUGGUGUAGCAAUUGUAAGGGGUAAGGUCAUUUAGUAACAGAAUGUCAUUCACCACCCCAAAUGAUUAUAUAAUGUACCUUUUGCGGGGGCAAGCAUAUUACCACCAACUGUUGGAAUUUACGGAAGCAACAACAACUCAGUAAUCAGAUAAUGAUUCAACUAACUUCGCGGCAUGUCAAUCAAGUCCAAACGAAUAAUAGAUUUGGCAGGAACGAAAAUCGAGCAAAUAAACAAAACAGGAAUUAUUCCAGUUUUUUAAACUCCAAAUUUCACCAAGAAGGUGUAUCUAAUACUCACAAAUUGGCGAUGAACCAACAAGAAUACCAUCAAUAUCCAUCCAUGACGAAGCCAAUGCCAGGGUCUACAAUACCAAUGGAUCAACCAGGAUCCUUUACUCAUCCGACAUGGAACAGACCUAGUCGUUAUAUAUCAAUAGAGACACCCAAUAUUCCUGAAGGAGUUAGCAGGAAACCACUUCAUUGCUAUCGUUGCAGACAUAUCAGACAUUAUGCGAGUGAAUGUCCUAAUCCAAAGGCCAGUGAUGACUAUGCUCCAAUAUGUGGAAAUUGUAAGCAAUCUAGUCACACUUAUCAACAGUGCAAUGUGUCCUUUAAUUAUAAUAAUCGAGACCAGCAAAUACAAACAAGCCAACUAGCGGAAGACAAAGGUCCUGUUCAACGAGACUCACCAGCACAUCAUGUUGAGGUGGUGAACGUAGUGCUUAUCAGAGGCCAACAAAAAGACAAGAAUCUAAUUCAGGACAUGAAUGAACGAAUCGUAGGAGAGCAAGUAGCCCCAUCCAUGGGACUAAACAAACCAAUAUCAGUAUUGGGACAUAUCCCAAUAUUGAGACCUCAACAGACUGAAGAACCUAAUUUGGUUUCACGUGCCAAUUUAUUGGGACUAUCAAGAUGGAUCCCAACUGACCAAGUACCAAUACCUGUAUAACCCAAUAAAAGAUCUUACUUAUUAAAGGAACCUUUAGUGAUAGAAAAGUUGGCAAAGUUACUAACGACAAUCUCAAUCGCUAGGAAGGAAUUGUUGCCGAAUGGAGUAAAAUCAAAACCAAUGAAAUACAAAAGAGCAUUGGAAAUUACUCUCAAUAUGGAACCCUACAACAUUCUAAAGGAUUUGGAUGUUAUUUUGCCUUCAAUUACAAUGAAGCAACUUUUGGCUGUAGUACUGGAAUGUCAAUCUACAUUGAAUUCAGCGUUAAUACGACGAAGAUCUUGCACUAAAGAAAUUCAUGAAAUUAGCUUAAACCCAGAUCCGAGAGCACCAACAAUCGAUGUAUUAAUCAAUGGCAUUUUAAUUCCAGGGGUACAAGUCGAUGGUGGUUCCAGUGUGAAUUUAAUGAAUGUAGAUACAAUAGAGGACUUGAAUCUAAAAGAAUUGCUACCUACAACAUUGGUCUUACGAAUGGCAGAUCAUAAUCGAGUAAAGCCAAUGGGAAUCUUACAUAAUAUUACCACUAUAAUCGUGGGAUUGACAUACAAAAUCGAUUAUAUUGUAUUCUGAUUACAAAGUUCUAUGUUAUCGUAUCCUAUUUUAUUGGGCAGACCUUGGCUUUAUCAAGCCAAAGCUAAAAACGAUUGGGGCCGAGGCACAUUGACAAUUGGAAAAGACCAUGACCAGAUUGUUUUACAGAUGUAUCCGAUACAAUAUCAUAGAAAAUCUCAAUUGCCAGAAACAAAAUUUACAUCACACAACGAGAGUCAAUUGAUUGAGGAAGAUGAUGAUGCUAUAGGUUCACUGCAAUUUGGAGUAGGACAAAACACUUCAACAGCAAAGGUAGGAGUCUAUCAAUGUGGAGGUCUCGACGAAUAUUUACUACAUUAGGAGGAUGCGACUAACUCGGAUCAUGCUAUUGCCAAAUGGAUGAAUAAUCUUGCAAUUAAUAGAGUCAGCACAUUAGAAUCAAAAUUGGAUAGUUCUCAUAUGUCGGAUAAUAUAAGAUAUUCAGAUCAGGAGAAGACAAUUAAAUCAGAGGUGGUAAAAGACCUUGUGUGUCAAUCCAUUAAUUUGGGCAUCAACGAAAUGCCACACCUAAUUAAAAUAUAUGUCGAUAUUAUAGGUAUAAAAUUGGAUGCUUGAAAACAAUUUUUUGUCCGUGACAAAUUUGCCUUUGCGUGGUCGUAUGCGGAUUUGAAAGGAAUUCUAGCCGACGUCUGUGAGUACCAGAUUAUUUUGGAGGAAGAUAUUAUGCCAGUUCAUCAAAGACAACACCGGCUUAACCCAAAAUAUUUCCUUUUAGUGAAAGAAGAAUUGGAUAAACUUCUCGACCUUGGUUUUAUUUAUCUUGUUUUGCAUAGUGCAUGGGUGUCGUCAAUCGUGAUGGUACUGAAGAAGAAUGAGAAAAUCAAGAUAUGUCACGAUUUUUGAAAGUUAAAUGCAGCUACUAAGAAGGACUAUUUUCCAUUACCAUUUAUAGAUAGUAUUUUGGACGCAAUCAUCGGACAUGAAUGUUACUUAUUUUUGGACGGAUUUUUGGAAUAUAAUCAAAUUAAAAUUAUCGAAGAGGACCAGUUGAAGACUACGUUUACCACAAAUUGGGGUACAUUCGCCUAUAAAGUAAUGUCAUUUGGGUUAUGUAAUGCCCUGGCUACUUUUCAACGCGUAAUGACACAAGCGUUUGAAGAUUACCUACGUUUAUCAAUGGAGAUAUUUCUGGACGAUUUCUGCACAUUUAGCACAACGAUUGAACAUCUAGCAUGUCUAGAUAACUGUUUGAAUCAAUGCGACAAGUAUGGAAUAUCUCUAAAUUCGGAGAAGUGUUAAUUUGGCGUACCAUCGAGGAAGCUAUUGGGACACAUUGUCUCUGUUGAAGGUAUCGCUAUGGACCUUGAUAAAGUUACCUGUAUAUUGCGUUUAUCAAAGCCAGAUACGGUAUCGGGCAUGCGUUGUUUCAUCGGCCAUGUCAGCUACUAUCGGUAUUUUAUUGAAUCCUUUGCGGUUAUCUGUCAACCAUUAACCAACUUAUUAAAGAAACCCUUGUCAGGCGGAUCUAGCCCAAUAUGGACUGAAGACUGUACCCACGCAUUUGACGAAUUGAAACGAAAAUUGAUAUCUGUCCCAAUUCUUGUAAUACCUUGUUGGACAAAAUCAUUUUAUAUCUAUGUGGACGCAUCCAAUGUUGCUAUUGGAUCCAUUCUCAGUCAAAAGGAUGAAAAAAGAUUAGAUCAUCCCAUAUAUUAUGCAAGCCGAUAAUUCGUUGCUGUAGAAUGAAAUUAUAAUACUAUCAAGCGAGAAGCCCUCAGAAUGAUCUACUCUGUACAAAAAUUCUGCCACUAUCUACUUGGAUACCCAUUUGUGUUCCAUGUUGAUUAUGAUGCGCUUAAGUACAUGAUAAAUAAACCUCAAUUGAGUGGACAAAUUGCUCGAUGGAUGUUACUUCUCCAGGAAUUCAACUUUAUGAUUAAUGUUUGACCCGACAAGAAAUAUGCCAAUACAAAUCACUUACCCCAUUUAUCUAAUAUAUUGGAUAAUGAGUAGAUAAAUGAUGCUCUUUUGGAUGCACAACUAUUCGCUGUGGAUGUCAUUACAUCCGAAUAUGGUGAAUUGAUGCAAUAUCUAAUGUUUCAGACUUUUUCAAUUUCAUAUAAUAAAAAAUUAAAGAAACGUCUGAUUUUAAAAAGUGUGUCAUAUACCAUGAUUGGAGAUGCCUUGUACAAACAAGGGUGGGAUGGAAUUUUAUGCCGUUGCAUCUUUCAAAGUGAAGUUCGUACAAUUUUGGAAGGAUGUCAUUUGGAAAAUUGUGGAGGACAUUUUGCGGGUGAUAGCAUCGCACGUAAGGCUUUAAUGGCUGGAUAUUGGUGGCCAACAAUGUUUUCAGAUGCACACCAAUAUGUUCGUUGUUGUGAUCCUUGCCAACGAAUUGGUCGCCCUACUGGAACUUCUGCAAUGCCAUUGGUACCAAUUUUGGCACAGGCACCAUUCGAAAAAUGGGGUAUUGACUUUGUAGGACCCAUUGCACUUGCCUCUCGAAAUGGACAUAAACAUUAUAUUCUAGUAGCCACCGAUUAUGUCACCAAAUAGGCGGAGGCCAUGGCAACGAAUAUUGAUAAUACCAAUAUUGUAGCAACAUUUUUAUAUGAGAAUAUUAUCACUCGUUUUGGCUGUCCGAAAGAAUUGGUUAGUGAUCGUGGCAUACAUUUUUUUAAUACAAAAAUUGAAGCAUUAACAGUGAAGUAUGAGAUCAAGUACCACAAAAUUAUACCUUAUCAUCCACGAGUCAAUGGGCAAACAGAAAAGACCAAUGGUAUCCUAUGUAAGAUCUUAACAAAGACUAUUUUAGGAGCGAAAACCGAUUGGGAUACUAAAUUGUUUGCAACUUUAUGGACGUACCAUACUGCAUAUAAAGUAACUACCAAUUCUAUCCUAUUUCAAUUGGUAUACGGUCAGGAGGCAAUUCUACCAAUUGAAUUAGAGGUCCAAAGUUUACGAAUUGCGUUGGAUGAACGUAUGGAAGACAGAGAAUCUCUUCAAUAUAGGUUAGUCCAAUUGUAGAAAUUGGAUGAAGCUAGGGCUACGGCUCUCUUGAUCAUCGAAGCUACAUAGCACCGCAAAAAGAGUUAUUACGAUAGUAAGUUAUGGCCAAAAUAUUUUAUGCCUAAUGAUCUGGUGCUACUUUAUGAUAGCCGCUUUAACAACUUUCCCUGUAAAUUUCAAGUACGAUGGCAUGGGCCAUAUCGGGUGGUGGAAGGUUUCUCUAAUGGUUCAGUUCAAUUGGAAGAUUUUCUGGGAACCCACUUCACAACACACGUUAAUGGGAAUCGGUUACAUCUGUAUUAUACGUAAACCUGGGACGGAUUUACUCAGUGGAAGGAGGGAGUCUCCGUAAUAAUGAUUACCUGACAAGAUUGAAAAGGUUAUGAUAGCUAAAAAACGAUUGAUGGUUAGUUUUGGGUACUAAAACUGACUAGUCAGGAAAUUAGACAUUCUUGAUUAGACGUGAGAUUAAGGUACAUUGGAUUAGAUGUUCUUGAUUUGGACCCCGAGUAAGCAAUUAGGAGCGAGGCACUCAUAGAAGGUUUCAUUGUUGUAAAUUUUAGACAUUGUACUUUGAACUGUAAGCUUUACGAUAGUAAUCAGCAAUAGUGUUAGCACGAGGAAGUAUUGAAAGUUUGAUUUUUACAAUGUCAAUGGAAAGAGCAAAGUGUGUAUUGGAAUGAUCGAAAAGUCACCUCAAUGUGAGGUCUAAGUGCGAUCUGGGAUCCCCGUCUCUUGUAGUUAUCACCAACAUGGAACCGAUGAAGUUGGACAUCUGUUGUUUAUUGAAAAGGAAAAAUGAUUUUAGAAAUGUAUAGUUAUUUACGUUUUUGCGAGGAUCCGAUAAACUACCACCAAUUGAUGUAAAACGAGUGGCAGAAUAUAUAGAAAAUUAUGAUCUACAUGAUGGUUUGAGUGUAGUAAGACGAGUCCUGAUUGGGAUAGAUGAGAAUAUCUUACACAAGGUCUUGCAUUUACCAACCGGAGAGCUUGAGGUGGGGGGAGACGCAUCAAAUGACUUCAAGCCAAGAAGCUACUUCAAAGGAGGAAUGUCGUCUAUCGAGCAAAAUCAAGGAUAGAAGGUAUAGGAGGCACUUAUGCCCGAACUUAUGGAAUAGAUGCGGUUUGUUCACAAGCGAUUAGCAUUGAAUCCGCAUAUCACCUACAUGGCAAAGCGAUUACUGUUUUCCGUGAUAGGAAUACUGGAAGGCAUGGUAUUCAAUUAAGCAGCUUAUGUGGCCACAAGGAUACAUGCAGAAAUGGGACCUAAGCGGAAGACGAGAAAGUUUGCUUCAUUAUUAUGUUCCAAUUAUGUAAACUCAGUGAUUGAGUAUACAUUAAAACAGGAAUCUCAACCAGUAGUUCCAAGUUUACAAACGGGAAAAAUUAGUGUAGGGGUAAUAGUGUAUGAAGUAGGAGAAUCCAGCAAAGCGACAGAACAAGAAGCAAGACCAAUAUCUACAGUAGAGCGAGUUUUCAUUUGGCCAACAAUAGUGAUGACGACACCAAUAUCAGUUCCAAGGAAAAGCAACCAAUUAGGAUUUCAAUGGGAUGUAAUGGAAGGGUAGAAUCUUAAGGAAGUUAUAUUGGGUCAAAUUUCCCAAUUGCAACUUAUAGUGAAUAAGCUCAAAGAUGAGGGUAGCUUAAAAAAGUAAGUGGAAGCGAGCAAGAAAAUAAUAUUGGAGCAAAAUUGCAAAAUCAAGGAACAGGAAUAAGUCAAGAAAGUAGAAUCGGAAUCCAAGAUGCGAGUGAAGCCUGAAUUGGAUGAGAGAGUGGAAAAUUGGUCAAAGGAGAAACAAAGGAUUCAGCAUAUCCUGGAAAAUCAAAAGCAAGAAUUACUAAAAACUUACAAAUUGUAUAGAUUGGAACAAGAGAAGAUGAACGCUCAGUUGAAGAUGGAAUGAGAGAAGGAGGCAUUGGAGCUUGAAAAGAAACAAUUGGGUGACCAAUAUCGAAACAAAACGGAUGAGCUACAAGCAGACAUCGUUGUUUUGAAGGAAACAGUAACAAAAUUGGAGAGUGAUUUGGUCAAUAUUGGUUAGUCACAGACAUCUGCCUCAACGAGAGUAAGAAUUAGAAAAUUGGAGGAGAAAUUGCAACAGCAACAACAACUGGAAGCUAAAGAUGCCAGAAUACUCCAAUUGGAAGCUCAAGUUCAAAAAUUGGGAGUAUACAAUGAAGAUUUAAUAGCUCAAUUAAGGACAGAGAUUUAGGACGAGUCGGAUGUAGAAGAAAAAGUGUUGAAACAAGACCAAAUAGAGCGAGCGCCAAGAAUUGAAGAAAUUGAACAAUCCAGUUAAAAAAAAAAAAAAAAAAAAAAAAAAAAAAAAAAAUGGUUUCUGUUUAUCAAUACUGUGUUUGCGGGGACACUGCACGGUUAGGAGUGGAGCUAUGUAGAAUAAGUAGUUAUUUUUAGAAUGUAGAUAUCUAGUGUAUAGUAUAAACAGGGAUAGAUAACUAUUGAAAAGGUGGUUUAGUAUGUAGAAUGGAUGAAUAGUCAAGAAAAGUAGUUAUCAUCCGUAGUAUAGGAGUUGGUAUCUCGGGGUAGUAUAAGGAGGAUGGGAGAGAGGAAGAAAAUGCCAGACUGUGAUAGUCAUGAGCCGGGAUAAGCUUGGUGCUAUCUCUUCUUCAUAAUUGUUUCUUUUGUGUUAGUGUUGAUUCUAGUGAAGAGAAUCAAUUUAAUGAAUCAAUAUUUGAUUUACGAAGUUGUUUAUGGAUCACUAUUUAUCAAUUGUUGUGAAAGAUUGAUGAUGUAUAGAAGUUUCCAGUCACUGUUUAUCGCAAGGUUGUGAAUCAAUGGAGAGGAAUUGUAAUCAAAGGAAUUGUCUCGAUCAGAUUCUGUGGAUUGGAAGUUGUUCGUUCUAGGGUUUGGGUUAUGCUUAUGUGUUCAUGAAUUACACAAGGUAUUGAAAUUGAUGUCGUGGUUGUUAUCGUAUUGAUAUGAAAGAGUGGACAGUAGGAAGAAAAGUUAAGUAUUCUUCAAUAUUGUAAGCAUUCAGCAAUAGCGGUUAAUUAUGUGACCCUAACAAUUGGAGCUCAUAUACAUGGUCUUUCCUUGUGUUUGAAUUCUCUUAUGUGGGUUUAUUCUGGGAGGUUUCUUUCGGAAUAAGUAAAACGACAAUCACACUUCCACAACCAGGUGCUCGGUGCAUUCUCAAGCAAGACUUCACGUAAUACGAUAUUGUAAUAAUAUGGUGUGAUUUUAAAAAAAUAGAUAAUAUUGAUUACAUGUUUUGGGCAUUGAUAAUGAUUCUACCGCUAAAGCCACUACUAUCAUAUAAUUCAACAAAACUAUCGUUGUCCUCAAUGACAUCAUUUAGAUUCAAUUCUACAAUGGUGAUUGCAAUGCGACCUCUUCCUGAGCCAAUAAGGUCCAAGUUCUUUUCUUUUAUGGUGCCAUCUCAACUACCAUGGCUCUAUUGGAUAAUAAAUGUUUUCAACAAGUAUAUUUUCUUGCAUCCAAGUAAAAAUCAAGGUAAGUUUUUCAAUAGUUGAAAAGUAUAGAAAGGAUCAUACCAAAUUUUAUACUGCAUAUAAUUUAGAUCCUAAUUGUAUUUGAAAAAUGUGUAGUCAUGAUAAUUUAUUAUAUUCAAGCAUAGGUUUUAUAUUAUUAUAAAAAUAAGAUAUAUUUACUAUUAUUAAAAAUAUAUGGAUAUUUUUUAUAUUUCAACAUAUUUGAGAGAUAUAAUUGAGGGAUAUAUAUGAUAUUAAUCCAAUAAAAACUUAACUUGUAUUUAAUUUCUUUAAAAUCAUUUUUUUGAUUUCAAUGGCAACUCUACUUUAAUUUGAAUUUAAUCAAGUCUAGUGGAAGAGAAAGUUUUGAUCCUAUUGGCAUAGAGGUCAAGUAUCCAAGUCUUUCUCCUAAUAUUAAGGUUUUAAGGGUCAAGCCAAAUAUUAAUUUUGCAUUCCCAAAAUGAUAGUCUUUCAGCUUUGGCACGACAUUUGGAAGGCAUACUAGUAACAUCUAGCAAGCAACUAUCAUUGACAAGGGCUAAAUCCUAGACAAACAUGGAAACACUAGGACAAACGUAAUGGAAGGACGUAGAGAAGGAAUUCCUCCUUGAAGUUAUGGAAUUGCAUUUGUGAACAAUCUUAAGAUGAAAAGUGACAAGAAGCUUAGAGUUGUAGUCAGUAAGUUUGAAGAAUUAUAGUCUGUAAGUUUGUAGUUUGUUUUUUAUAGCCAAUAUGUUAAUAAGAUUAUAAAUAAUAUGAAAAUAAAUGUAUAUAUGAAGAUUGAUUUUGUUUUGAAAUCAAUUCAUGGGAAUUCUACUUGUAGGAAUUAACUUAAUUAUUUAUUUUCAAGAUGUUUUACAUGUGGUGGCAUGCUUGAUUUUAUUUUUGGUAUAUAUCAAUUUUUAUAU